AGGGCAUUCGGUGGAUGCCUUGGCGCUAAGAGGCGAUGAAGGACGUGGUACGCUGCGAUAAGCCCUGGGGAGCUGCGAACGAGCUUUGAUCCGGGGAUUUCCGAAUGGGGCAACCCACCUUCAGUGACCAGUGACUAGUGAACAGUGACCGGAUUUAUUCUGGUGACUGAUUACUGGUUACUGAUCACUAACAGAAGGUAUUUGAUCCUGAAUCCAUAGGGGUCAAAGGCGAACCCGGGGAACUGAAACAUCUCAGUACCCGGAGGAAAGGACAUCAACGAGACUCCGUCAGUAGCGGCGAGCGAACGCGGACCAGGCCAAUGCUCACAGUCUUCUCAACCGGAACCGUCUGGAAAGUCGGGCAUGAUGGGUGAUAGCCCCGUACGGGUUCAGGAAGCUGUGGGAUACGAGUAGGGCGGGACACGUGAAAUCCUGUCUGAACAUGGGGGGACCACCCUCCAAGCCUAAGUACUCCUUAGCGACCGAUAGCGAACCAGUACCGUGAGGGAAAGGUGAAAAGCACCCCGACGAGGGGAGUGAAACAGUCCCUGAAACCGGAUGCCUACAAACAGUGGGAGCCCAAGGUCUGUCCUGGGUGACCGCGUACCUUUUGUAUAAUGGGUCAGCGACUUAAAGUAGCGAGCAAGCUUAAGCCGUGAGGUGUAGGCGCAGCGAAAGCGAGUCUGAACAGGGCGUUCAGUUCGUUGCUUUAGACCCGAAACCGAGUGAUCUAGCCAUGAGCAGGUUGAAGGUGCGGUAACACGCACUGGAGGACCGAACCGGUGUCUGUUGAAAAAGCCUCGGAUGACUUGUGGUUAGGGGUGAAAGGCCAAUCAAACUCGGAGAUAGCUGGUUCUCCGCGAAAGCUAUUUAGGUAGCGCCUCGCGUUUAUGCUCCAGGGGGUAGAGCACUGGAUGGGCUAGGGCUGUCCACAACGGUACCAAACCUAACCAAACUCCGAAUACCUGGAAGACUUGCGCGGGAGACACACGGCGGGUGCUAACGUCCGUCGUGGAGAGGGAAACAACCCUGACCUACAGCUAAGGCCCCCAAUUCGUGGCUAAGUGGGAAAGGAUGUGGGAACCCCAAAACAACCAGGAGGUUGGCUUAGAAGCAGCCAUCCUUUAAAGAAAGCGUAACAGCUCACUGGUCUAAACAAGGGUUCCUGCGCCGACAAUGUAACGGGGCUCAAGCCACGAGCCGAAGCUUAGGAUCCGGUGACCAGUUAUCAGUGAACAGUAACCAGAAUGAACCUUGACAAACGAAGCGGCAAGCGUUGGGACGCGGAAGACCUUGAGGUCUUCCGGCGUGCUUAUGCCUUGUCGUUGGAGCUUCAUGGCGUGAGCCUGGAGUUUCCGAAGAGUGAGCAAUUCGGCGGUCUCGCCGAUCAGAUCAGGCGGUCUUCACGAUCCGUCUGCAGCCUGAUCGUUGAGGGUGCCGGUCGUCAACAGGCCUCUCCCCGGGAGUUCGGGCGCUAUCUUGUGAUGGCGAUCGGCUCUGCUGAGGAGACGCGGCUCUGGUGUCGCUAUUGCGCGGAUCUCGGGUUUGUUGCGAGCGAUCGUGCGGAUGUCUGGCGCGACGAGUUGCGUCAGAUUGUGCGCAUGUUGCAGGGUUUGAAGAACAGUCUCGCCGACCGGUGACGGUCUCGGGGUGUUCUGGUGACUGAUUACUGAUAACUGGUCACUGGGUGGUAGCGGAGCGUUCCGUAGGCCUGUGAAGGGAUACUCGUGAGAGGUCCUGGAGGUAUCGGAAGUGAGAAUGCUGACAUGAGUAACGACAAACAGCGUGAGAGACGCUGUCGCCGAAAGUCCAAGGGUUCCUGCGUAAAGUUAAUCUGCGCAGGGUUAGCCGGCUCCUAAGGCGAGGCCGAAAGGCGUAGUCGAUGGGAAUGCGGUGAAUAUUCCGCAGCCUGCGGGUGGUGACGGAUCUGAAGUGUUGUGCAUCCUUAUUGGAUUGGGUGUGCUUCUGGAUGGUCCCGGGAAAUAGCCCCCGCGUUAUAGACCGUACCCGAAACCGACACAGGUGGACUAGCAGAGUAUGCUAAGGCGCUUGAGAGAACGAUGCUGAAGGAACUCGGCAAAUUACCUCCGUAACUUCGGGAUAAGGAGGCCCUGUCAUCGGGCAACCGGUGGCGGGGGGCACAGACCAGGGGGUGGCGACUGUUUAGCAAAAACACAGGGCUCUGCGAAAUCGCAAGAUGACGUAUAGGGUCUGACGCCUGCCCGGUGCCGGAAGGUUAAGAGGAGAGGUGAGAGCUUUGAAUCGAAGCCCCGGUAAACGGCGGCCGUAACUAUAACGGUCCUAAGGUAGCGAAAUUCCUUGUCGGGUAAGUUCCGACCUGCACGAAUGGCGUAACGACUGCCCCACUGUCUCCAGCACCAACUCAGUGAAAUUGAACUCCCCGUGAAGAUGCGGGGUUCCUGCGGUCAGACGGAAAGACCCCG
RNAcentral lists this ribosomal RNA (2444 nucleotides) under Spirochaetaceae bacterium. RNAcentral's name for it is "bacterial LSU rRNA". It matches the Rfam family "Bacterial large subunit ribosomal RNA", at positions 14 to 2093 of the family's 2925-position model. Lineage: Bacteria; Pseudomonadati; Spirochaetota; Spirochaetia; Spirochaetales; Spirochaetaceae. The record is from RNAcentral.